AUUGAACGCUGGCGGCAUGCUUUACACAUGCAAGUCGAACGGUAACAGGGAGCUUGCUCCGCUGACGAGUGGCGAACGGGUGAGUAAUGCAUCGGAACGUACCGUGUAAUGGGGGAUAACGUAGCGAAAGUUACGCUAAUACCGCAUACGCCCUGAGGGGGAAAGUGGGGGACCGCAAGGCCUCACGUUAUACGAGCGGCCGAUGUCGGAUUAGCUAGUUGGUGGGGUAAAGGCCUACCAAGGCGACGAUCCGUAGCGGGUCUGAGAGGAUGAUCCGCCACACUGGGACUGAGACACGGCCCAGACUCCUACGGGAGGCAGCAGUGGGGAAUUUUGGACAAUGGGGGCAACCCUGAUCCAGCCAUGCCGCGUGAGUGAAGAAGGCCUCGGUGUAAG
RNAcentral lists this ribosomal RNA (396 nucleotides) under uncultured bacterium. Its description in RNAcentral is "bacterial SSU rRNA". It matches the Rfam family "Bacterial small subunit ribosomal RNA", at positions 30 to 429 of the family's 1533-position model. The record is from RNAcentral.